GACGAACGCUGGCGGCGUGCCUGAUACAUGCAAGUAGAACGCUGAAGCUUGGUGCUUGCACCGAGCGGAUGAGUUGCGAACGGGUGAGUAACGCGUAGGUAACCUGCCUGGUAGCGGGGGAUAACUAUUGGAAACGAUAGCUAAUACCGCAUAACAGUAGAUAUCGCAUGAUAGCUACUUGAAAGGUGCAAAUGCACCACUACCAGAUGGACCUGCGUUGUAUUAGCUAGUUGGUGAGGUAACGGCUCACCAAGGCAACGAUACAUAGCCGACCUGAGAGGGUGAUCGGCCACACUGGGACUGAGACACGGCCCAGACUCCUACGGGAGGCAGCAGUAGGGAAUCUUCGGCAAUGGACGGAGGUCUGACCGAGCAACGCCGCGUGAGUGAAGAAGGUUUUCGGAUCGUAAAGCUCUGUUGUAAGAGAAGAACGAGUGUGAGAGUGGAAAGUUCACACUGUGACGGUAUCUUACCAGAAAGGGACGGCUAACUACGUG
RNAcentral lists this ribosomal RNA (497 nucleotides) under uncultured bacterium. RNAcentral describes it as "partial 16S ribosomal RNA". It matches the Rfam family "Bacterial small subunit ribosomal RNA", at positions 28 to 507 of the family's 1533-position model. The record is from RNAcentral.